RNAcentral lists this unclassified non-coding RNA (229 nucleotides) under uncultured fungus. RNAcentral describes it as "sequence contains ITS1, 5.8S rRNA gene". The stretch from base 181 to 229 matches the Rfam family "5.8S ribosomal RNA", at positions 1 to 49 of the family's 154-position model. The record is from RNAcentral. Lineage: Eukaryota; Fungi.
UUUCCGUAGGUGAACCUGCGGAGGGAUCAUUACUGAGUGAGGGCUCACGCCCGACCUCCAACCCUUUGUGAACACAAUCUUGUUGCUUCGGGGGCGACCCUUCCGGCACUACGUCGCCGGGCGCCCCCGAAGGUCUCCAAACACUGCAUCGUUGCGUCGGAGUUUAAACAAAUUAAACAAAACUUUCAACAACGGAUCUCUUGGUUGUGGCAUCGAUGAAGAACGCAGC